CAAAAAUUUCUCACUCAGGUAAGAUGAUGACAAUGCGUAUGCUUGUAGAUUAUUGAGAAACUUUCCAAGUGGAAGAGAAAUUCUGUUUCUUGAGCCAAUUCUCAGAAAAUACAAAAAGGAAACUCGAUUAUUGUUGUUAUUCAACAGAAAAUGAAAUAUCUGAAGAUCUAGAGUUGAGCAAGUUAGCUCUUGCGAAAUUAACUGAGGAAAUGACGUCCAUUGAAGCUAAAGAUUACAUAAUUGAGCUUAAACGUAACAGAUUGUAUAACUGGAUAGGCGAGAUAUCAAUGUGAUUUAUACGAUGUCUGUCAUUCUUCUGAAUAUGAAUGUCCUAAAGAAUUCAAAGAGUGGAUGAUUUGGAAGCAGUUGGAUCGACUAACAAAACAUACCAUGACCAAAAUUAUUAAAAUCUCCGAACUUGAAGAAAAAGCAUAUGAAGUUUAUCUACAAGACAUGGGAGUUCGGGUGCCAGAUGAGUGGAUGGGAUUCAUGAACACUUCUUCUGAUUUGACCUCAAAGAUGAAAUUAUACGAGAUGAUGAGUAAGGAAUCCUAGUUAUAAUUCUACGAAUCAUUCCCGAAUGAUUCGUGAACGUAUCCGAACUGACCGAAUCCGAAUGAUAUUUCCGAAUUAUUUGAACUCCGAACCUAGUUUUCGGAUUAUAUAGACCUCACGAAUGAUUCACGAACGUAUCCGAACUGACCAAAUCCGAUUGAUAUUUCCAAACUAGAACUCCCAUAGGUAACUCUCUGACCAGAGUUCUGUUGAUUGGUUUUUGUUUGAUUUUGUAUAUACUUUAUAUUUAAAUACAAUU
Long non-coding RNA from Papaver somniferum (opium poppy), 814 nucleotides. RefSeq lists it as uncharacterized. The record is from RefSeq and is a predicted model, not a curated record. The transcript is spliced from 4 exons. NCBI's taxonomy places the organism in Eukaryota, Viridiplantae, Streptophyta, Magnoliopsida, Ranunculales, Papaveraceae.